CGUGCCUAAUACAUGCAAGUCGAGCGAGCGGAACUAACAGAUUUACUUCGGUAAUGACGUUAGGAAAGCGAGCGGCGGAUGGGUGAGUAACACGUGGGGAACCUGCCCCAUAGUCUGGGAUACCACUUGGAAACAGGUGCUAAUACCGGAUAAGAAAGCAGAUCGCAUGAUCAGCUUUUAAAAGGCGGCGUAAGCUGUCGCUAUGGGAUGGCCCCGCGGUGCAUUAGCUAGUUGGUAAGGUAAAGGCUUACCAAGGCGAUGAUGCAUAGCCGAGUUGAGAGACUGAUCGGCCACAUUGGGACUGAGACACGGCCCAAACUCCUACGGGAGGCAGCAGUAGGGAAUCUUCCACAAUGGACGCAAGUCUGAUGGAGCAACGCCGCGUGAGUGAAGAAGGUUUUCGGAUCGUAAAGCUCUGUUGUUGGUGAAGAAGGAUAGAGGUAGUAACUGGCCUUUAUUUGACGGUAAUCAACCAGAAAGUCACGGCUAACUACGUGCCAGCAGCCGCGGUAAUACGUAGGUGGCAAGCGUUGUCCGGAUUUAUUGGGCGUAAAGCGAGCGCAGGCGGAAGAAUAAGUCUGAUGUGAAAGCCCUCGGCUUAACCGAGGAACUGCAUCGGAAACUGUUUUUCUUGAGUGCAGAAGAGGAGAGUGGAACUCCAUGUGUAGCGGUGGAAUGCGUAGAUAUAUGGAAGAACACCAGUGGCGAAG
RNAcentral lists this ribosomal RNA (710 nucleotides) under uncultured Bacilli bacterium. RNAcentral's name for it is "bacterial SSU rRNA". It matches the Rfam family "Bacterial small subunit ribosomal RNA", at positions 43 to 720 of the family's 1533-position model. Lineage: Bacteria; Bacillati; Bacillota; Bacilli. The record is from RNAcentral.